UGUGACAUCACCUCAGCAAGUAAUGUGUGAGGAGGAGCGGCUGACUCUUAUUGCCCCUCUCCAGGCUGAACUGAACUGUCUCGACUCUAAUGAAGACGACUGAUGUUGUGAAAGAAAUAGAGCAUGUGAUGUCAGAGGACCUAUCUGACAGAUACUCUGAUCAAGACGCUCUUCACACAGCAUCAAUAUUGGACCCACUCAUCAAAAGGUGCACAUCUCCUUGAAGUUGAGUACGCUUGACUCCUGGAUAAAUGAAACGCCGCUAUCCUCACCGUGGAAAACAAGAGAUUAGACACACUUAAGAUGAGCACCGACAUGGCUUUUAUUGCUGAAACUGCUGAGUGGGGCAACCCUCCACAAACCUUGAAAAGUGGAAGUGAUAGAGUGGAGGAAGAGACAUCUUGAGGAGAUGCUGCAAAAACGAUGAAGCAUCAUUAUUAUAUUGCUGUAAGAAAGCCCUUCAUGUUUCCUUUAUUGAUUAGACUUGACAAAUAGGCACCAAAACAUACACCACUUCACAGAUGACCACUGCAACUGCUUUUCUGUCGACUGAUUUUGAAGCCACUUAACUCGUUCGGUGUCAUUGACGGUUAUAGAUGUCAAAGAUAUUAACUGGGUUGGCAGUGAAUGAGUGAAACACUUCACUUCUCAUUUGAACAAUAACAGGCAAGGAGGAAGCCUCGGGAGAGGAGAAAGUGGUGCAAGGGGAGGGGGGGGUUCA
Long non-coding RNA from Syngnathus acus (greater pipefish), 721 nucleotides. RefSeq lists it as uncharacterized. The record is from RefSeq and is a predicted model, not a curated record. The transcript is spliced from 3 exons. Lineage: Eukaryota; Metazoa; Chordata; Actinopteri; Syngnathiformes; Syngnathidae.